Molecule: microRNA precursor, 73 nt
Filed under: Glycine max (soybean)
Lineage: Eukaryota; Viridiplantae; Streptophyta; Magnoliopsida; Fabales; Fabaceae
Description: miR10405e stem-loop (gma-MIR10405e)
Source: miRBase by way of RNAcentral
UUCUCCAUCCAGUCCUUUUUAUAAGAAACAAGCACUAAAACUUUGUUUCUUAUAAAAAGGACCGGAUGUAGUA